This 61-nucleotide non-coding RNA is filed under the name unclassified sequences. RNAcentral's name for it is "RAGATH-18 RNA". It matches the Rfam family "RAGATH-18 RNA". Rfam says of the family: Actinobacteria, Firmicutes, Fusobacteria, Thermotogae (1 example). Nearby to self-cleaving ribozyme genes The record is from Rfam by way of RNAcentral.
ACUGUGGACUGCACAAAAAAUAUGAGUAGCUCAGGCAAAAGUAUGCAGGAUGAAACAGUAA